AGAGUUUGAUUAUGGCUCAGGAUGAACGCUAGCGAUAGGCCUAACACAUGCAAGUCGAGGGGCAGCACAUGAAGUAGCAAUACGGAUGGUGGCGACCGGCGCACGGGUGAGUAACGCGUAUGCAACCUGCCUACAACAGGGGAAUAACCCGUUGAAAGACGGACUAAUACCCCAUAACACAGGGAUCCCGCAUGGGAAUAUUUGUUAAAGAUUUAUCGGUUGUAGAUGGGCAUGCGUUCCAUUAGCUGGUUGGUGAGGUAACGGCUCACCAAGGCAACGAUGGAUAGGGGAACUGAGAGGUUUAUCCCCCACACUGGUACUGAGACACGGACCAGACUCCUACGGGAGGCAGCAGUGAGGAAUAUUGGUCAAUGGACGCAAGUCUGAACCAGCCACGUCGCGUGAAGGAAGACGGCCCUACGGGUUGUAAACUUCUUUUGUAAGGGAAUAAAGUGCAGUACGUGUACUGUUUUGCAUGUACCUUACGAAUAAGGAUCGGCUAACUCCGUGCCAGCAGCCGCGGUAAUACGGAGGAUCCGAGCGUUAUCCGGAUUUAUUGGGUUUAAAGGGUGCGCAGGCGGGAGAUUAAGUCGGCGGUGAAAUUUUGCAGCUCAACUGUAAAAGUGCCUUCGAAACUGGUUUCCUUGAGUGUGGAUGAAGUAGGCGGAAUUUGUGGUGUAGCGGUGAAAUGCAUAGAUAUCACGAGGAACUCCGAUUGCGCAGGCAGCUUACUAAACCAUAACUGACGCUCAGGCACGAAGGCGUGGGGAUCAAACAGGAUUAGAUACCCUGGUAGUC
Molecule: ribosomal RNA, 798 nt
Filed under: uncultured Proteiniphilum sp.
Lineage: Bacteria; Pseudomonadati; Bacteroidota; Bacteroidia; Bacteroidales; Dysgonomonadaceae
Description: bacterial SSU rRNA
Rfam family: Bacterial small subunit ribosomal RNA
Source: RNAcentral